Molecule: unclassified non-coding RNA, 240 nt
Filed under: soil metagenome
Description: partial contains 5.8S ribosomal RNA, internal transcribed spacer 2, and large subunit ribosomal RNA
Source: RNAcentral
AACGGUCUAUACCUGCGGUACCUGCGGAGGGAUCAUUACCAAGUUGAGGGGGCUACGAUCUUGGAGGCUGGUGUACACACAACCGCGAGCGUUGGGCAAUUGCCAGCCGUGGGCCUCCCAAGACUAGUCCCCGAACCUCCCACCCUUGUCCACUUGUACCCUUCGUUGCCUCGGCGGGCCCGCCCGCCGGAGGACCAACCAAAUAACUCUUGUUGUCAAACGGCGUGAGUCUGAGCGAUA